GACGAACGCUGGCGGCGUGCUUAACACAUGCAAGUCGAACGGUAAGGCCCCUCGGGGUACACGAGUGGCGAACGGGCGAGUAACACGUGGGUGAUCUGCCCUGCACUUCGGGAUAAGCCUGGGUAACUGGGUCUAAUACCGGAUAGGACCUCGCACUUCACGGCGUGUGGUGGACAGCUUUCGCGGUGUGGGAUGGGCCCGCGGGCUAUCAGCUUGUGGGUGGGGUAAAGGCCUACCAAGGCGGCGACGGGUAGCCGGCCUGAGAGGGUGACCGGGCACACUGGGACUGAGAUACGGCCCAGACUCCUACGGGAGGCAGCAGUGGGGAAUAUUGCACAAUGGGCGCAAGCCUGAUGCAGCGACGCCGCGUGAGGGAUGACGGCCUUCGGGUUGUAAACCUCUUUCAGUAGGGACGAAGCGCAAGUGACGGUACCUACAGAAGAAGGACCGGCCAACUACGUGCCAGCCGCCGCCGUAA
Molecule: ribosomal RNA, 478 nt
Filed under: uncultured bacterium
Lineage: Bacteria
Description: partial 16S ribosomal RNA
Rfam family: Bacterial small subunit ribosomal RNA
Source: RNAcentral